RNAcentral lists this ribosomal RNA (1441 nucleotides) under uncultured organism. RNAcentral's name for it is "SSU rRNA". It matches the Rfam family "Bacterial small subunit ribosomal RNA". The record is from RNAcentral.
GACAGGCUUAACACAUGCAAGUCGAGGGGCAGCACAGGUAGCAAUACCGGGUGGCGACCGGCGCACGGGUGAGUAACGCGUAUGCAACUUGCCUAUCAGAGGGGGAUAACCCGGCGAAAGUCGGACUAAUACCGCAUGAAGCAGGGGCCCCGCAUGGGGAUAUUUGCUAAAGAUUCAUCGCUGAUAGAUAGGCAUGCGUUCCAUUAGGCAGUUGGCGGGGUAACGGCCCACCAAACCGACGAUGGAUAGGGGUUCUGAGAGGAAGGUCCCCCACAUUGGUACUGAGACACGGACCAAACUCCUACGGGAGGCAGCAGUGAGGAAUAUUGGUCAAUGGCCGAGAGGCUGAACCAGCCAAGUCGCGUGAGGGAUGAAGGUUCUAUGGAUCGUAAACCUCUUUUAUAAGGGAAUAAAGUGCGGGACGUGUCCCGUUUUGUAUGUACCUUAUGAAUAAGGAUCGGCUAACUCCGUGCCAGCAGCCGCGGUAAUACGGAGGAUCCGAGCGUCAUCCGGAUUUAUUGGGUUUAAAGGGUGCGUAGGCGGCCUUUUAAGUCAGCGGUGAAAGUCUGUGGCUCAACCAUAGAAUUGCCGUUGAAACUGGGGGGCUUGAGUAUGUUUGAGGCAGGCGGAAUGCGUGGUGUAGCGGUGAAAUGCAUAGAUAUCACGCAGAACCCCGAUUGCGAAGGCAGCCUGCCAAGCCAUUACUGACGCUGAUGCACGAAAGCGUGGGGAUCAAACAGGAUUAGAUACCCUGGUAGUCCACGCAGUAAACGAUGAUCACUAGCUGUUUGCGAUACACUGUAAGCGGCACAGCGAAAGCGUUAAGUGAUCCACCUGGGGAGUACGCCGGCAACGGUGAAACUCAAAGGAAUUGACGGGGGCCCGCACAAGCGGAGGAACAUGUGGUUUAAUUCGAUGAUACGCGAGGAACCUUACCCGGGUUUGAACGCAUUCGGACCGAGGUGGAAACACCUUUUCUAGCAAUAGCCGUUUGCGAGGUGCUGCAUGGUUGUCGUCAGCUCGUGCCGUGAGGUGUCGGCUUAAGUGCCAUAACGAGCGCAACCCUUGCCACUAGUUACUAACAGGUUAGGCUGAGGACUCUGGUGGGACUGCCAGCGUAAGCUGCGAGGAAGGCGGGGAUGACGUCAAAUCAGCACGGCCCUUACAUCCGGGGCGACACGCGUGUUACAAUGGCGUGGACAAAGGGAUGCCACCUGGCGACAGGGAGCGAAUCCCCAAACCACGUCUCAGUUCGGAUCGGAGUCUGCAACCCGACUCCGUGAAGCUGGAUUCGCUAGUAAUCGCGCAUCAGCCAUGGCGCGGUGAAUACGUUCCCGGGCCUUGUACACACCGCCCGUCAAGCCAUGGGAGCCGGGGGUACCUGAAGUCCGUAACCGAAAGGAUCGGCCUAGGGUAAAACUGGUGACUGGGGCUAAGUCAU